RNAcentral lists this ribosomal RNA (492 nucleotides) under uncultured bacterium. RNAcentral's name for it is "partial 16S ribosomal RNA". It matches the Rfam family "Bacterial small subunit ribosomal RNA", at positions 29 to 507 of the family's 1533-position model. The record is from RNAcentral.
AGUGAACGCUGGCGGUAGGCCUAACACAUGCAAGUCGAACGGCAGCACGGUAAGAGCUUGCUCUUACGGGUGGCGAGUGGCGGACGGGUGAGGAAUACAUCGGAAUCUACUUUUUCGUGGGGGAUAACGUAGGGAAACUUACGCUAAUACCGCAUACGACCUACGGGUGAAAGCAGGGGAUCUUCGGACCUUGCGCGAUUGAAUGAGCCGAUGUCGGAUUAGCUAGUUGGCGGGGUAAAGGCCCACCAAGGCGACGAUCCGUAGCUGGUCUGAGAGGAUGAUCAGCCACACUGGAACUGAGACACGGUCCAGACUCCUACGGGAGGCAGCAGUGGGGAAUAUUGGACAAUGGGCGCAAGCCUGAUCCAGCCAUACCGCGUGGGUGAAGAAGGCCUUCGGGUUUUAAAGCCCUUUUGUUGGGAAAGAAAAGCAGCAGGUUAAUACCCCGCUGUUCUGACGGUACCCAAAGAAUAAGCACCGGCUAACUUCGUG